CGUUUAUGACGCCGUUGAUUUUUUCUCACAUGUUUGACCAUUCGUCUUGUUCAAAAAAUUUUGUUAUGAGUUGUUUUAUCACUCAUAGUACUUUAAGUGUGAUUUAUAUCUUAUACAUUUGCAUAAAAUUUUUGAAUAAGACGAAUGGUCAAACAUGUGAGAAAAAGUCAACAGUGUCAUCUAUU
RNAcentral lists this microRNA precursor (185 nucleotides) under Oryza sativa Indica Group (long-grained rice). RNAcentral describes it as "MIR812 microRNA precursor family". It matches the Rfam family "MIR812 microRNA precursor family". The record is from Rfam by way of RNAcentral. Lineage: Eukaryota; Viridiplantae; Streptophyta; Magnoliopsida; Poales; Poaceae.